CUAAGAGAAAGGUAGAACACGAAGCAGUAUAUCCUGCUUCAAUAAAAAGACUUUGAAGUACACAAAGUCUAUACUCUUAAAACGAUGCGCUUCUUUCUUUCCUUUUCCCUUUGUUUAUAUAAGUCUGCUAGAGAAGGGGAUAUAGCUCAGCUGGCUAGAGCGGCGGCUUUGCAAGCCGUAGGUCAGGGGUUCAAAUCCCCUUAUCUCCAUAAAAGCAUGAAUAAUGCUUUUUCCGGUUUAUACUUGUAUUUAUCGGAGCAAGGUCUUUGACACGGAUAGGGAAGGGAAGAAAACGAAAAUCAAAUAAAAGAGCGUGUACACUUAUCUUUUUGGCGAGGAGCUGAAGGGGUAAGUAACGAAACGUAAAGAAGGGCCGGUAAUAU
This 383-nucleotide transfer RNA is filed under the name spirochete isolate 2-1498. RNAcentral describes it as "16S-23S intergenic spacer region". The stretch from base 136 to 209 matches the Rfam family "tRNA". The record is from RNAcentral. RNAcentral also lists the same sequence under 1 other name. Lineage: Bacteria; Pseudomonadati; Spirochaetota; Spirochaetia; Spirochaetales; Spirochaetaceae.